Molecule: ribosomal RNA, 273 nt
Filed under: uncultured Acinetobacter sp.
Lineage: Bacteria; Pseudomonadati; Pseudomonadota; Gammaproteobacteria; Moraxellales; Moraxellaceae
Description: partial 16S ribosomal RNA
Rfam family: Bacterial small subunit ribosomal RNA
Source: RNAcentral
UACAGAGGGUGCGAGCGUUAAUCGGAUUUACUGGGCGUAAAGCGUGCGUAGGCGGCCAAUUAAGUCAAAUGUGAAAUCCCCGAGCUUAACUUGGGAAUUGCAUUCGAUACUGGUUGGCUAGAGUAUGGGAGAGGAUGGUAGAAUUCUAGGUGUAGCGGUGAAAUGCGUAGAGAUCUGGAGGAAUACCGAUGGCGAAGGCAGCCAUCUGGCCUAAUACUGACGCUGAGGUGCGAAAGCAUGGGGAGCAAACAGGAUUAGAUACCCGGGUAGUCC